This 499-nucleotide ribosomal RNA is filed under the name uncultured Glomeromycotina. RNAcentral describes it as "partial small subunit ribosomal RNA". It matches the Rfam family "Eukaryotic small subunit ribosomal RNA", at positions 591 to 1092 of the family's 1831-position model. Lineage: Eukaryota; Fungi; Glomeromycota. The record is from RNAcentral.
CCAAUAGCGUAUAUUAAAGUUGUUGCAGUUAAAAAGCUCGUAGUUGAAUUUCGGGAUCAAUUUAUUGGUCGUGCUAUUGUACGUACUGGUAUUAUUGAUUCCUACCUUCUGACGAACCAUGAUGUCAUUAAUUUGGUGUCUUGGGGAAUCAGGACUGUUACUUUGAAAAAAUUAGAGUGUUUAAAGCAGGCUCACGCUUGAAUACAUUAGCAUGGAAUAACGAAAUAGGACGUUUGAUUCUAUUUUGUUGGUUUCUAGGAUCGACGUAAUUAUUAAUAGGGAUAGUUGGAGGCAUUAGUAGUCAAUUGUCAGAGGUGAAAUUCUUGGAUUUAUUUAAGACUAACUACUGCGAAAGCAUUUGCCAAGGAUGUUUUCAUUAAUCAAGAACGAAAGUUAGGGGAUCGAAGACGAUCAGAUACCGUCGUAGUCUUAACCAUAAACUAUGCCGACUAGGGAUCGGAUGAUGUUAAUUUUUUAAUGACUCAUUCGGCGCCUUACA